CCAAAGCAGAACAUACAUGUUGCCAACUAUGAGCAGAAAGAUGUGACAUUGGAGAAGUCCUGAGCAAAGACUUUAAUGGGGAUCUGGCAGUUUCCCUCUAUCAUGCUGAGUUGCUGGGCCUGAGGUCUAUGAACAGCAGAACUUCCAGCUGACUUCAUCAGGGACACUGAGCUACCAAGAUGGGAAGCUGAGUUUUGAGCUUAAGUCCUUGCAUAAGUCCAGCUGAUCUCCCAUAGAAGUGUGAGGGCCAUGUCUCUUUGAGUGUUUCCUGCCCUCUGGGAUGAAAGCUCCAGGAUGAAAAUCACCCCUGCAAAGAAAUGAAAGCUGGGAUGUCUUAGGAGGAGAAACGCUGCACAGCACUGAACCAGCACCCACCCAACAUGGGACAAACACCCAGAAUCCCCUUGAACAGAAGGAGACAAGGCUGAGCGCAGUGGUGGAAAGCCCUCUCUGGUCAAGGUCAAGCUUUGGGGAGGCUGGGGGAGGGCAUGUCUAUGGUAUGACGUGUGUAGCACGUUCUGCCCUACGUUGGGUCCAGGUGGUUGGCCUUAUUCUUAGUAUUCAGUGAUGACCCAAUUUGGUUGUUUUUUUUUCCAACUCUGGUGUUUCAAAUCAUUGUCAACUCUAUUUUAUUUUAGUCCUUGAUCAUCCAAAGACCAUUUUCCAUUUGUCCUGUUGGAGAUGUUCAAGCUGGCUCUGGACUAUAUAUUGCCAUUUUUGCAGUCUUCAUUGGAGCUUAGACAAAAGGAUCCUACACAUUGAACAUUGCUGGCCCAGGAUGAUGGCACCCAAUAUGGCCCCCUGAGUACUGGGAGCACUGGCAGCCUCAUCUUGGUCUAGACAGUGGUGCCAUUUCCUGUGAUAUCAGGAGCAGUUGGCACUGUAUUAUUGUGUACUCUUUUUCCUUCACAGACGUCUAUCAUACUGGGGUCUGAGGAGUCUCUUGAUCUAUUAAUUAGCUGCUCUUUCAGCCACCUAACCGCUGUCUUGUCUUCUCUGUCCCAGGGCCAGAGACCAGAGCAUGCUUGCCUAUAUUCAAACUUCCUCGGCUUAGAUUUACAUCUGAAUUUCUAGAGAGAAAAACCAAGGCUCUGAAAGGAAUAAGACACCACACUGAGUAUCUGUUCAAGUUUUUGCAUGGCUAGAAAGAGAAAGAAAUCUGUGCCGGGUUUCAGAAUGUGUUGGUUUGGCUGUUCCAGGAGGGUUUUCACAAGAUGAUUAGUAAAGCCCCUUACCCAGGACCUCAGUUCCUCCUGUUCAUUCCUGGAGAUGCAACAAUGAUCUAUGCACUGACCCACGUGACCUGUCUGACCUUUGGGUAUUAAUCUAUGCUCUCAAAUUCAUCAUGUGUACAGCAUCCUUGUCAUAUAUGGAUGACAUACUCUCACAGCAGACAUUCCGGCUCUUACAAUCUGCCCAACUCCCAAGUUCUGCAGCGCUCCCUGAACCGUGGGUGUAGGUGAUGUAUUUGAGAUGCAUCAGUUGCUGCUGGGUCAUUUGUUCUCUGUAUUUUGGUCAAUUGUAGCUUUUCUGUUAAAUUCUCUGUCUGCUUCAAAAAGAAGCUUCCUUGAUGAUAGGUGAGGGUUACACAGUAUUUUCUUUGCCUUGACCUGGAUUGUCAUCUUCUUCCUCCUCCUUUGAUUACUCAUGGAUUUGGCCGUUUUCUAGUAUCCCAGACUUCCUGAAUGUUUCGUCCCAGUAGUUUUUUUAUAUUUAACAUUUUCUUUUUUGGGGUGAUUUAUCUUCAACUUGUCUUCAAGACAAUACCUGCUAUCUCUUCCCCUUGAUCCAAUCUUUUGGUGAGACUUUCCUCUGAGCUUUUUGUUUUACUUACUUCCUGAGUGAGUUUUUCAUUUCAAAUUUCAUCUCAGUUUGGCUUUUCUUCAGAGAUGUUAUCUCUUUAUCAAAUACCAUCUUUAUAUCUUAAAUUCUUUUCAUUCAGCUGUUUAUGAUUUCACUGUUCUCAUUCAAGGAUUUAUUCAUAUCCUCUUUGAGUUCCUUGGAAAUAUUUUUAAUUAAUAUUUUGGAAUAAUUGUCUUGUGGGUUAGCUAAGUUGCUUUUCCUAGAGAACAUUAUAGCAAUGCUGCUUAUUUCUGGAGAAGGAGAUAUGCUGCCUUUGGCAUUCUUUGGAAGACUCCUAUGUCUUGUAAGUUUUAUGAUCUUUCUAAGUUUUGUGAGUUUCAUUAGCUCCCUAUAAGUCACCCUAUUCCCUUCAAGAAGGAAUGCUUCAACUUGAGGAAAUAGAUAUUGCAUGUUGUGAUACCAAUGCAGUCAAUCUGAUAUCUGAGAUUGAUACUGAGUGACUACUGAGUAGAUAGUGUGGAUACACAGAAUAAAGUGAUGAUCAUUUCUAGGAUGAUCAUAGUGGUGUAUGACUUCAUCAUGCUUUUCAGAAGAAUUUAUGAAUUGCUUACUUGUAGAAUCUUACAUGUACUAUUUCAAACCAUGAUUGACUUCAAGUAAGAAAAACUCCUAAAUAAACAAAUAAAUAAAUAAAUAAAUAAAUAAAUAAAUAAAACUGCAGUGAGAACAACCACAACUUGCUUAGAACAAUGGCCUCCAUAUUCAAUAUUCGAUUCUGAGGGAGAAACAAGCUCUAUGUUUUCUUA
Molecule: non-coding RNA, 2609 nt
Organism: Peromyscus maniculatus bairdii (prairie deer mouse)
Lineage: Eukaryota; Metazoa; Chordata; Mammalia; Rodentia; Cricetidae
Source: RefSeq, a predicted model, not a curated record